Molecule: ribosomal RNA, 384 nt
Filed under: uncultured bacterium
Lineage: Bacteria
Description: bacterial SSU rRNA
Rfam family: Bacterial small subunit ribosomal RNA
Source: RNAcentral
AUUGAACGCUGGCGGAAUGCUUUACACAUGCAAGUCGAACGGCAGCACGGGGCAACCUGGUGGCGAGUGGCGAACGGGUGAGUAAUAUAUCGGAACGUGCCCAAUCGUGGGGGAUAACGUAGCGAAAGUUACGCUAAUACCGCAUACGAUCUACGGAUGAAAGCGGGGGAUCGCAAGACCUCGCGCGAAUGGAGCGGCCGAUGUCAGAUUAGGUAGUUGGUGGGGUAAAGGCUCACCAAGCCAACGAUCUGUAGCUGGUCUGAGAGGACGACCAGCCACACUGGAACUGAGACACGGUCCAGACUCCUACGGGAGGCAGCAGUGGGGAAUUUUGGACAAUGGGCGCAAGCCUGAUCCAGCCAUUCCGCGUGCAGGAUGAAGGCC